Molecule: non-coding RNA, 126 nt
Organism: Lepraria neglecta
Lineage: Eukaryota; Fungi; Ascomycota; Lecanoromycetes; Lecanorales; Stereocaulaceae
Source: the annotation of a GenBank genome assembly
GCGGUUUUACCUCAGCUGGGAGUAGCGUUAGGUUUGUACUCCUAAUGCUCACUUUUCGCCUAGAGGUACAUGUAUGGUAACUGACCGCACAACUUAAGGUCGCCCGUUCGAGCCGGGCAAGCCGCA